GUGGACACGCCUUGUAAACAAACCAAACAAAAACAAUAAAGUCACUGGUCAGUAUAAAAGACCUGACCACGAAGAAAUCGGAGCAUAUUCAUUUAGCAAAAUAAUCAACUAACAGAUUGCAGAAAAGAAAUCAUGAAGCUCAUUAUUGCUGUGCUAGUAUUUAUUUGCCUGAAUGGAGUGGUGCUAAGUCAGGGAAAUUUCGGCUCCUUUCUUGUCGGAGGUCUGCUCGGUUCCGCUCUUGGUAGACGUAGGGGUGGAUUUCACGGGGGCUAUUAUCCGAGGCCAUACUACGGCGGGUAUGGUAGAUGGGGACGAGGACACUGGGGCCGUGGACGCUAUUAUGGAUAGAACCCGCUGAAGCCGCAAAUCAAUUACACCUUAAUCAUUUAACAUUGUACAAUAAAAGUAACAUAGCAUUUCAAAAGUAUGUGCUGGUAAUCAAAAAAGUUUUAUUGUAUCAAUAUAUAUAUAUGUGUGUGUAGAUAAUAAAAAUAUCUUAACGAUU
Long non-coding RNA from Pecten maximus, 505 nucleotides. RefSeq lists it as uncharacterized. The transcript has 3 exons. NCBI's taxonomy places the organism in Eukaryota, Metazoa, Mollusca, Bivalvia, Pectinida, Pectinidae. The record is from RefSeq and is a predicted model, not a curated record.